AGCUACGGCCAUGCCACCCUGAACAAGCCCAAUGUCUGAUCUCAGAAGCUAAGCAGGGUCGGACCUGGUUAGUACUUGGAUGGGAGACCACCUAGGAAGACCAGGUGCUAUAGGCA
RNAcentral lists this ribosomal RNA (116 nucleotides) under Pteropus alecto (black flying fox). Lineage: Eukaryota; Metazoa; Chordata; Mammalia; Chiroptera; Pteropodidae. The record is from RNAcentral.